GUAUAUUAUAAAUGCACAUAUAAACAUUUCCAGUCAGGGCACAAUGUGAGGAUGUGCUUUAUCUAGUAGCUGAUUUUUCCUGUACUGAUGGAUGAAGUCAGAGCAGUUAUGCAUAUCCCUUUGGUUAUCCAUGGGAUACUGUUAAAAUAUCUCCAAACAUAAGUGGUAUGCACUGAUCUGCUCUUAUACUACAAAGUCCUGGUGAAUAAUGUCAGACAGUUGGUUUCUCUCCUCUGAGGACUAUUUCUUUGCAAGAGUUUAUUCUGCUCUGUUUCUCUUGCUCUGUUUGAAAACAAGGUGCUGGUAUGAACACCUGGUUACCUUGCCUUCGGUGCUCAGACAUGCUUGCUUUAUCUUUUCUUUUUUCUGCUCCAGAUGGCACUAUUAAAUGCUUGUUCCUGGGUUUGGCUGGUAUUCUCACAUAGAUACAUGAAAGUUAAAGCUUGUAUUGGGUGGCAUUUGCUUUACUGGUAUCUUCACAAUUAUAUUUACCUUCCCUUAAGUGACUGGCUGGGUAGGGCAUGGGAAAAGGGGAGAUUGUUCCUCACCACUAGGCAGCUGAGCAUAUUUGGGCACAACAGGAUGGAGAAACUGCAGGAUGAACUUGUCAAAGGCACAGGGAGCUGGAUGCUUGCAACAUGGUGCUGUGAGAAACCAUCCAGGCCUUAGAGAUGUUGACAACAGAUUUCCUAGUACCCAAAGGGUCCAGGGAAGGGUUUGCUGCUCCUCCACAGUCAUGGAGUUACCUGGAAGCAAGGAUGCACUGGUUGAUUCUGAGAUUCUCCAGAGCUCUGCAGGGACGAUGCCCUGAAGAAUUGCUGGGAGUGCAGAAGGGCCUCGUUCACCCUAAUGGUAUUGACUGCUGCUCACUCUGUCUCGCCAGGCUGCCCUGCAUGGACGGCUGCCCCCUUUCUGCGCUGACUGCCCACCUGUGGCACCAUGGAGCCCACAGCCAGGAGGAAGCCAUCUCUGGUUCCAGUCAGCUUAGCAACACAGCAGUGCCAAGCCCUGGUUUACAUGGGGAGCAGCUGCCCCAGCACUCAUGGUGAGGCGGGCAGCAGAAGACAGUGACCUCAGCCAGAGUUUGUGUCUUCAUUUUUUUUUUCAUUUAUACCAUCCCCCUCACCUGGUUUUCUCCUAGGUUCAGAAGUAGAUCUGGUUGAUCUGAAACUGCAUCCUCUGGUGCACGUCCAUGACAUUUAGGGUCUCCAUCCUGAACAUGUCACUUACAGAUGUCUAAACCAAGUAAAAAUGGGGUUUACAGUUUUAAAACAGGUACACACUUAGGAAAAUGUCACCCAUACUUUCCAGCUCUGCCUUUUAAAAUAUUCCAUGAAUGGAGUAUUUCAUCUCAUGAACCUCCAAAUGGAAGCCUACAUAAAAAGGACUUUUCUUAUUUUCAGUGGUCAUUUAUUUUAUUUUAUUUUAUUUUAUUUUAUUUUAUUUUAUUUUAU
Molecule: long non-coding RNA, 1454 nt
Filed under: Anas platyrhynchos platyrhynchos (common mallard)
Lineage: Eukaryota; Metazoa; Chordata; Aves; Anseriformes; Anatidae
Description: lncRNA (ENSAPLG00000024424.1)
Source: RNAcentral